AUUGAACGCUGGCGGCAUGCUCUACACAUGCAAGUCGAACGGUAACAGGCCGCAAGGUGCUGACGAGUGGCGGACGGGUGGGUAAUGCAUCGGAACGUGCCCAGUCGUGGGGGAUAACUACUCGUAAGAGUAGCUAAUACCGCAUACGAUCUAUGGAUGAAAGCGGGGGACCGUAAGGCCUCGCGCGAUUGGAGCGGCCGAUGUCGGAUUAGGUAGUUGGUGGGGUAAAGGCUCACCAAGCCAACGAUCUGUAGCUGGACUGAGAGGACGACCGGCCACACUGGGACUGAGCCACGGCCCAGACUCCUACGGGAGGCAGCAGUGUGGAAUUUUGGACAAUGGGCGCAAGCCUGAUCCAGCAAUGCCGCGUGCAGGAAGAAGGCCUUCGGGUUGUAAACUGCUUUUGUACGGAACGAAACGGCUCUGGUUAAUACCCGGGGCUAAUGACGGUACCGGAAGAAUAAGCACCGGCUAACUACGUG
Molecule: ribosomal RNA, 482 nt
Filed under: uncultured bacterium
Lineage: Bacteria
Description: partial 16S ribosomal RNA
Rfam family: Bacterial small subunit ribosomal RNA
Source: RNAcentral